Molecule: long non-coding RNA, 333 nt
Organism: Canis lupus familiaris (dog)
Lineage: Eukaryota; Metazoa; Chordata; Mammalia; Carnivora; Canidae
Exons: 3
Source: RefSeq, a predicted model, not a curated record
AAGAGGUCAGGAACUUGUCUCUGGUUCACUGUUGGAGUCCUAGCACCUCAGAACCAUGCCUGGUUAAUCAGACCUGCAUCAGGUUUUCCAGAAUGUGGUUUUGUUCCAGAGGGAAUGACUGGGUUCCCUGUCAAUGAAUUCUGGCAAGGAGGGGGACGAGAUCUUGAGAGAAUAAAUAUACCGAGACUCGGUGACAUGAAUGACUAUUGAACUGCAACUGGCUGAGAACUUCUGCAACAAGGAAAAGAAUAUGUAUUGGAAGCCAAAAACAAAAAGAGAUUUUUUUUUAAUCCAUUGGAAGUCACAAUUAAAAUUACGAUCGUGAGGAUUAUA